Molecule: ribosomal RNA, 547 nt
Filed under: uncultured bacterium
Lineage: Bacteria
Description: partial 16S ribosomal RNA
Rfam family: Bacterial small subunit ribosomal RNA
Source: RNAcentral
UGGGGAAUUUUGGACAAUGGGCGCAAGCCUGAUCCAGCCAUGCCGCGUGCGGGAAGAAGGCCUUCGGGUUGUAAACCGCUUUUGUCAGGGAAGAAAUCUUCUGAGUUAAUACCUCGGGAGGAUGACGGUACCUGAAGAAUAAGCACCGGCUAACUACGUGCCAGCAGCCGCGGUAAUACGUAGGGUGCAAGCGUUAAUCGGAAUUACUGGGCGUAAAGCGUGCGCAGGCGGUUUUGUAAGACAGAGGUGAAAUCCCCGGGCUCAACCUGGGAACUGCCUUUGUGACUGCAAGGCUUGAGUGCGGCAGAGGGGGAUGGAAUUCCGCGUGUAGCAGUGAAAUGCGUAGAUAUGCGGAGGAACACCGAUGGCGAAGGCAAUCCCCUGGGCCUGCACUGACGCUCAUGCACGAAAGCGUGGGGAGCAAACAGGAUUAGAUACCCUGGUAGUCCACGCCCUAAACGAUGUCAACUGGUUGUUGGGAAGGUUCCUUCUCAGUAACGUAGCUAACGCGUGAAGCUGACCGCCUGGGGAGUACGGCCGCAAGGUU